AAGAGAUAUAUAUAUAGAAUUGGCUUACACUCGCCACAAGCUACAUCAGAGUCACAAUAGUACAAUACAUAAUCAUCAUGAAGAAGAGUAGGGUUCGACUACGGAUGAAAACAAACGAGAAAAGAAGAACGACGUCCAUCCUUGCUAUCCCAUGCUGCCGGCCUGGAACCCAUCCUAGAUCGAUGAAGAAGAAGAAGAAGAAGAAGAAGAAGAAGCAACUCCAAAUGAACAAUCAACGCGCUCGCGUCGAGUAACCUUUACCUGUACCUACAACUGGUGUUGUAGUAAUCUGUGAGCCAC
RNAcentral lists this long non-coding RNA (300 nucleotides) under Hordeum vulgare. RNAcentral's name for it is "long non-coding RNA (HVUL_LNC012003)". Lineage: Eukaryota; Viridiplantae; Streptophyta; Magnoliopsida; Poales; Poaceae. The record is from RNAcentral.